Homalodisca vitripennis (glassy-winged sharpshooter) is the source of this 398-nucleotide long non-coding RNA. RefSeq lists it as uncharacterized. The record is from RefSeq and is a predicted model, not a curated record. Lineage: Eukaryota; Metazoa; Arthropoda; Insecta; Hemiptera; Cicadellidae. The transcript is spliced from 3 exons.
UAUAAUAAAUUCUAGUUUUAUUUGGAACCCACAAAACCAUAUUACUCUAAGUAAAAUAAAAGAGCUUGUGUUUUAUUAAAAAGUACUGUAAUAUAUAUGUUACAUUUUGCUGUUGCUAAUUAUUAGUUACAUAAGGUUUGAAGUCUCGGCAUGUCAAAGUCAAACUACCGGAUAACGCUAGACAAUCAAUAGCAUGGGUAUAGCACCAUAAAUAGCAAUCAAACUUUAGACUCUUUACUACGCUAGCUAAAGUAGCCAACUCUUACGAGGCUGCCUAAACAAGUUUAACACGGUUCUUCUGGGACAGUUACUACAUCAGGUUAUGUGUUAGAGAAGACCUAAUGGUUCCAACUUCAGCAAUAGAAAAGAUUGUACAAAUCAAUAAAGAAUAUUAGUAA